Molecule: ribosomal RNA, 577 nt
Filed under: Bacillus arbutinivorans
Lineage: Bacteria; Bacillati; Bacillota; Bacilli; Caryophanales; Bacillaceae
Description: bacterial SSU rRNA
Rfam family: Bacterial small subunit ribosomal RNA
Source: RNAcentral
UCCUUUUCCUCUCAUGAGGAAAAGCUGAAAGUCGGUUUCGGCUGACACUUACAGAUGGGCCCGCGGCGCAUUAGCUAGUUGGUGAGGUAACGGCUCACCAAGGCGACGAUGCGUAGCCGACCUGAGAGGGUGAUCGGCCACACUGGGACUGAGACACGGCCCAGACUCCUACGGGAGGCAGCAGUAGGGAAUCUUCCACAAUGGACGAAAGUCUGAUGGAGCAACGCCGCGUGAGCGAUGAAGGCCUUCGGGUCGUAAAGCUCUGUUGUUAGGGAAGAACAAGUACCGGAGUAACUGCCGGUACCUUGACGGUACCUAACCAGAAAGCCACGGCUAACUACGUGCCAGCAGCCGCGGUAAUACGUACGUGGCAAGCGUUGUCCGGAAUUAUUGGCGUAAAGCGCGCGCAGGCGGUCCUUUAAGUCUGAUGUGAAGCCCACGGCUCAACCCGUGGAGGGUCAUUGGAAACUGGGGGACUUGAGUGCAGAAGAGGAAAGCGAAUUCCACGUGUAGCGUGAAAUGCGUAGAGAUUGUGAGACACAGUGGCGAAGCGCUUUCUUGGUCUGUACUGACCGCU